This 219-nucleotide ribosomal RNA is filed under the name uncultured fungus. RNAcentral describes it as "partial small subunit ribosomal RNA". The stretch from base 95 to 219 matches the Rfam family "Eukaryotic small subunit ribosomal RNA", at positions 739 to 864 of the family's 1831-position model. Lineage: Eukaryota; Fungi. The record is from RNAcentral.
GUGGCCCAACGGCGGUCGGCCGCAAGGUCUGUACUGCCGGUUUUCGGACCACCUCUUUCUGGGGAAACGUCGGCCCUUAACUGGGCUCGGCGGCGGAACCAGGACGUUUACUUUGAAAAAAUUAGAGUGUUUAAAGCAAGCGUACGCUUGAAUACAUUAGCAUGGAAUAAUAAAAUAGGACGGCAUGGUUCUAUUUUGUUGGUUUCUAGGAUCACCGUA